CUAGCACUCCCUCUAUUCCAAAAUUCUUGUCUUAAAUUUAUCUAAAUACAGAUGUAUCAAGCCACGUUUUAAUAUUAGAUACGUCCGUAUCUAGACUAAUAAAGAUAGGAAUUUUGAAACGGAGGGAGUACAAU
Triticum aestivum (bread wheat) is the source of this 134-nucleotide non-coding RNA. NCBI's taxonomy places the organism in Eukaryota, Viridiplantae, Streptophyta, Magnoliopsida, Poales, Poaceae. The record is from Rfam.